UUCCAAGACCCAGGGAGGUGUGGAGGGACCUCCCGGCACCUGUGGGGUGUGGAGGCGUGCAGGCCCCUCCAGGAGUGGAGAAGGGUUGCUGUGAGCUAAUUAAGGAAUGGAAGUAAUGCUGCAAACCCGUGAAUGGAAAAAACAGAUAAUUAAUAAACAUCACAACAGAGAAAACAGCCCAUGUCAGAGAAUAACACAGUCUAAGAAUGAAGGAUGCUCACAAAUACCACUCUUGGCUGAAGACAUUUCCUUCUGACACUGUGCACCUGCAGAGAGUCCUCCAAACCCUAAGGACAUGACUCUACCAGGCAGGCGUGAGCCUGGCUUGACCAAGCAGAGCUGUUUUGGAUCCUUCUGCUGAAAUCCAUUUCCCAGGGCUGGAGAAUGCUUGCUUGGAUGACUCCAGC
This is a long non-coding RNA of Numida meleagris (helmeted guineafowl), 407 nucleotides long. RefSeq lists it as uncharacterized. Lineage: Eukaryota; Metazoa; Chordata; Aves; Galliformes; Numididae. The record is from RefSeq and is a predicted model, not a curated record. The transcript has 4 exons.